UGUCAUAGCACACCUCAAUGAAGCCCC
Molecule: non-coding RNA, 27 nt
Filed under: Mus musculus (house mouse)
Lineage: Eukaryota; Metazoa; Chordata; Mammalia; Rodentia; Muridae
Source: RNAcentral